GGAGAGGUGGCCGAGCAAGGCUGAAGGCGCUCGCCUGCUAAGCGAGUAUAGGGGCUUAAACCUCUAUCGAGGGUUCAAAUCCCUCCCUCUCCGCCA
This 96-nucleotide transfer RNA is filed under the name Desulfomicrobium baculatum DSM 4028. RNAcentral's name for it is "tRNA-Ser (GCT) (tRNA-Ser-GCT-1-1)". It matches the Rfam family "tRNA". From Rfam's summary of the family: Transfer RNA (tRNA) molecules are approximately 80 nucleotides in length. Their secondary structure includes four short double-helical elements and three loops (D, anti-codon, and T loops). Further hydrogen bonds mediate the characteristic L-shaped molecular structure. tRNAs have two regions of fundamental functional importance: the anti-codon, which is responsible for specific mRNA codon recognition, and the 3' end, to which the tRNAs corresponding amino acid is attached (by aminoacyl-tRNA synthetases). tRNAs cope with the degeneracy of the genetic code in two manners: having more than one tRNA (with a specific anti-codon) for a particular amino acid; and 'wobble' base-pairing, i.e. permitting non-standard base-pairing at the 3rd anti-codon position. Lineage: Bacteria; Pseudomonadati; Thermodesulfobacteriota; Desulfovibrionia; Desulfovibrionales; Desulfomicrobiaceae. The record is from RNAcentral.